This 468-nucleotide ribosomal RNA is filed under the name uncultured bacterium. Its description in RNAcentral is "partial 16S ribosomal RNA". It matches the Rfam family "Bacterial small subunit ribosomal RNA", at positions 28 to 507 of the family's 1533-position model. The record is from RNAcentral.
GACGAACGCUGGCGGCGUGCUUAACACAUGCAAGUCGAACGGAAAGGCCCUGCUUUUGUGGGGUGCUCGAGUGGCGAACGGGUGAGUAACACGUGAGUAACCUGCCCUUGACUUUGGGAUAACUUCAGGAAACUGGGGCUAAUACCGGAUAGGAGCUCCUGCUGCAUGGUGGGGGUUGGAAAGUUUCGGCGGUUGGGGAUGGACUCGCGGUUUAUCAGCUUGUUGGUGGGGUAGUGGCUUACCAAGGCUUUGACGGGUAGCCGGCCUGAGAGGGUGACCGGCCACAUUGGGACUGAGAUACGGCCCAGACUCCUACGGGAGGCAGCAGUGGGGAAUAUUGCACAAUGGGCGGAAGCCUGAUGCAGCAACGCCGCGUGCGGGAUGACGGCCUUCGGGUUGUAAACCGUUUUCGCCUGUGACGAAGCGUGAGUGACGGUAAUGGGUAAAGAAGCACCGGCUAACUACGUG